AAAGGGCUUCGGCCCCGUACAGUGGCGCACGGGUGAGUAACACGUAGGCAAUCUCCCCUCGAGUGGUGGAUAACCUUCCGAAAGAGGGCUAAUACAGCAUGAGACCACGAGCUCGCAGAGCUUGUGGCCAAAGCGGACCUCUUCAUGAAAGUUCGCGCUUGAGGAUGAGCCUGCGGCCCAUCAGCUAGUUGGUAGGGUAACGGCCUACCAAGGCGAAGACGGGUAGCUGGUCUGAGAGGACGGACAGCCACACUGGAACUGAGACACGGUCCAGACUCCUACGGGAGGCAGCAGUGGGGAAUCUUGCGCAAUGGACGAAAGUCUGACGCAGCGACGCCGCGUGAGCGAUGAAGGCCUUCGGGUUGUAAAGCUCUGUGGGGAGAGACGAAUAAGGUGCAGCUAAUACCUGCAUCGAUGACGGUAUCUCCUUAGCAAGCACCGGCUAACUCUGUGCCAGCAGCCGCGGUAA
This 469-nucleotide ribosomal RNA is filed under the name uncultured delta proteobacterium. Its description in RNAcentral is "bacterial SSU rRNA". It matches the Rfam family "Bacterial small subunit ribosomal RNA", at positions 72 to 523 of the family's 1533-position model. Lineage: Bacteria; Deltaproteobacteria. The record is from RNAcentral.